AUUGAACGCUGGCGGCAUGCUUUACACAUGCAAGUUGAACGGCAGCGGGGGCUUCGGCCUGCCGGCGAGUGGCGAACGGGUGAGUAAUGCAUCGGAACGUGCCCAGUCAUGGGGGAUAACUACGCGAAAGCGUAGCUAAUACCGCAUACGCCCUGAGGGGGAAAGUGGGGGAUCUUCGGACCUCGCGCGAUUGGAGCGGCCGAUGUCGGAUUAGCUAGUUGGUGGGGUAAAAGCCCACCAAGGCGACGAUCCGUAGCGGGUCUGAGAGGAUGAUCCGCCACACUGGGACUGAGACACGGCCCAGACUCCUACGGGAGGCAGCAGUGGGGAAUUUUGGACAAUGGGGGCAACCCUGAUCCAGCCAUGCCGCGUGAGUGAAGAAGGCCU
This 387-nucleotide ribosomal RNA is filed under the name uncultured bacterium. Its description in RNAcentral is "bacterial SSU rRNA". It matches the Rfam family "Bacterial small subunit ribosomal RNA", at positions 28 to 417 of the family's 1533-position model. The record is from RNAcentral.